UUAAGUUAUUAAGGGCGCACGGUGGAUGCCUUGGCACUAGAAGCCGAUGAAGGACGUUACUAACGACGAUAUGCUUUGGGGAGCUGUAAGUAAGCUUUGAUCCAGAGAUUUCCGAAUGGGGAAACCCAGCAUGAGUUAUGUCAUGUUAUCGAUAUGUGAAUACAUAGCAUAUCAGAAGGCACACCCGGAGAACUGAAACAUCUUAGUACCCGGAGGAAGAGAAAGAAAAUUCGAUUCCCUUAGUAGCGGCGAGCGAAACGGGAAGAGCCCAAACCAAAAAGCUUGCUUGUUGGGGUUGUAGGACACUCUAUACGGAGUUACAAAGGACGACAUUAGACGAAUCAUCUGGAAAGAUGAAUCAAAGAAGGUAAUAAUCCUGUAGUCGAAAAUGUUGUCUCUCUUGAGUGGAUCCUGAGUACGACGGAGCACGUGAAAUUCCGUCGGAAUCUGGGAGGACCAUCUCCUAAGGCUAAAUACUCUCUAGUGACCGAUAGUGAACCAGUACCGUGAGGGAAAGGUGAAAAGCACCCCGGAAGGGGAGUGAAAUAGAACCUGAAACCGUGUGCUUACAAGUAGUCAGAGCCCGUUAAUGGGUGAUGGCGUGCCUUUUGUAGAAUGAACCGGCGAGUUACGAUUUGAUGCAAGGUUAAGCAGUAAAUGUGGAGCCGUAGCGAAAGCGAGUCUGAAUAGGGCGUUUAGUAUUUGGUCGUAGACCCGAAACCAGGUGAUCUACCCUUGGUCAGGUUGAAGUUCAGGUAACACUGAAUGGAGGACCGAACCGACUUACGUUGAAAAGUGAGCGGAUGAACUGAGGGUAGCGGAGAAAUUCCAAUCGAACCUGGAGAUAGCUGGUUCUCUCCGAAAUAGCUUUAGGGCUAGCCUCAAGUGAUGAUUAUUGGAGGUAGAGCACUGUUUGGACGAGGGGCCCCUCUCGGGUUACCGAAUUCAGACAAACUCCGAAUGCCAAUUAAUUUAACUUGGGAGUCAGAACAUGGGUGAUAAGGUCCGUGUUCGAAAGGGAAACAGCCCAGACCACCAGCUAAGGUCCCAAAAUAUAUGUUAAGUGGAAAAGGAUGUGGCGUUGCCCAGACAACUAGGAUGUUGGCUUAGAAGCAGCCAUCAUUUAAAGAGUGCGUAAUAGCUCACUAGUCGAGUGACACUGCGCCGAAAAUGUACCGGGGCUAAACAUAUUACCGAAGCUGUGGAUUGUCCUUUGGACAAUGGUAGGAGAGCGUUCUAAGGGCGUUGAAGCAUGAUCGUAAGGACAUGUGGAGCGCUUAGAAGUGAGAAUGCCGGUGUGAGUAGCGAAAGACGGGUGAGAAUCCCGUCCACCGAUUGACUAAGGUUUCCAGAGGAAGGCUCGUCCGCUCUGGGUUAGUCGGGUCCUAAGCUGAGGCCGACAGGCGUAGGCGAUGGAUAACAGGUUGAUAUUCCUGUACCACCUAUAAUCGUUUUAAUCGAUGGGGGGACGCAGUAGGAUAGGCGAAGCGUGCGAUUGGAUUGCACGUCUAAGCAGUAAGGCUGAGUAUUAGGCAAAUCCGGUACUCGUUAAGGCUGAGCUGUGAUGGGGAGAAGACAUUGAGUCUUCGAGUCGUUGAUUUCACACUGCCGAGAAAAGCCUCUAGAUAGAAAAUAGGUGCCCGUACCGCAAACCGACACAGGUAGUCAAGAUGAGAAUUCUAAGGUGAGCGAGCGAACUCUCGUUAAGGAACUCGGCAAAAUGACCCCGUAACUUCGGGAGAAGGGGUGCUCUUUAGGGUUAACGCCCAGAAGAGCCGCAGUGAAUAGGCCCAAGCGACUGUUUAUCAAAAACACAGGUCUCUGCUAAACCGUAAGGUGAUGUAUAGGGGCUGACGCCUGCCCGGUGCUGGAAGGUUAAGAGGAGUGGUUAGCUUCUGCGAAGCUACGAAUCGAAGCCCCAGUAAACGGCGGCCGUAACUAUAACGGUCCUAAGGUAGCGAAAUUCCUUGUCGGGUAAGUUCCGACCCGCACGAAAGGCGUAACGAUUUGGGCACUGUCUCAACGAGAGACUCGGUGAAAUCAUAGUACCUGUGAAGAUGCGGGUUACCCGCGACAGGACGGAAAGACCCCGUGGAGCUUUACUGUAGCCUGAUAUUGAAAUUCGGCACAGCUUGUACAGGAUAGGUAGGAGCCUUUGAAACGUGAGCGCUAGCUUACGUGGAGGCGCUGGUGGGAUACUACCCUAGCUGUGUUGGCUUUCUAACCCGCACCACUUAUCGUGGUGGGAGACAGUGUCAAGCGGGCAGUUUGACUGGGGCGGUCGCCUCCUAAAAGGUAACGGAGGCGCUCAAAGGUUCCCUCAGAAUGGUUGGAAAUCAUUCAUAGAGUGUAAAGGCAUAAGGGAGCUUGACUGCGAGACCUACAAGUCGAGCAGGGUCGAAAGACGGACUUAGUGAUCCGGUGGUUCCGCUUGGAAGGGCCAUCGCUCAACGGAUAAAAGCUACCCCGGGGAUAACAGGCUUAUCUCCCCCAAGAGUUCACAUCGACGGGGAGGUUUGGCACCUCGAUGUCGGCUCAUCGCAUCCUGGGGCUGUAGUCGGUCCCAAGGGUUGGGCUGUUCGCCCAUUAAAGCGGUACGCGAGCUGGUUUCAGAACGUCGUGAGACAGUUCGGUCCCUAUCCGUCGUGGGCGUAGGAAAUUUGAGAGGAGCUGUCCUUAGUACGAGAGGACCGGGAUGGACAUACCUCUGGUGUACCAGUUGUCGUGCCAACGGCAUAGCUGGGUAGCUAUGUGUGGACGGGAUAAGUGCUGAAAGCAUCUAAGCAUGAAGCCCCCCUCAAGAUGAGAUUUCCCAACUUCGGUUAUAAGAUCCCUCAAAGAUGAUGAGGUUAAUAGGUUCGAGGUGGAAGCAUGGUGACAUGUGGAGCUGACGAAUACUAAUCGAUCGAAGACUUAAUCAA
This 2921-nucleotide ribosomal RNA is filed under the name Staphylococcus aureus M1503. RNAcentral's name for it is "bacterial LSU rRNA". It matches the Rfam family "Bacterial large subunit ribosomal RNA". Lineage: Bacteria; Bacillati; Bacillota; Bacilli; Caryophanales; Staphylococcaceae. The record is from RNAcentral.